This is a non-coding RNA of Apaloderma vittatum (bar-tailed trogon), 58 nucleotides long. The record is from Rfam. NCBI's taxonomy places the organism in Eukaryota, Metazoa, Chordata, Aves, Trogoniformes, Trogonidae.
UAGCUCAGCCAGCUGAGCGUGGCGCUAACAACACCAAGGUCACGGGUUCGAUUCCCGU